ACAGGGCCAUGGAUCUGGUCUUGGGACACUGUCAGGUGGGCAGUUUGACUUGGGCGGUCGCCUCCCAAAAGGUAACGGAGGCUCUCAAAGGUUCUCUCCGUACGGUCGGAAAUCGUACGUAGAGUGUAAAGGCAAAAGAGAGCUUGAUUGCAGGACAUACAGGUCGAGCAAGGAUGAAAAUCGGACUUAGUGAUCCGGUGGUUCUGCGUGGAAGGGCCAUCGCUCAACGGAUAAAAGCUACCCUGGGGAUAACAGGCUUAUCUCCCCCAAGAGUCUACAUCGACGGGGAGGUUUGGCACCUCGAUGCCGGCUCAUCACCUCCUGUGGCUGUAGUAGGUCCCAAGGGUUGGGCUGUUCGCCCAUUAAAUUGGUACGCGAGCUGGGUUCAGAACGUCGUGAGACAGUUCGGUCCCUAUC
This 417-nucleotide ribosomal RNA is filed under the name Clostridioides difficile. RNAcentral describes it as "bacterial LSU rRNA". It matches the Rfam family "Bacterial large subunit ribosomal RNA", at positions 2228 to 2642 of the family's 2925-position model. The record is from RNAcentral. Lineage: Bacteria; Bacillati; Bacillota; Clostridia; Peptostreptococcales; Peptostreptococcaceae.